GCUCUCCCUCCCGCUGCUGCCGGGACAGAUUUGGGAAGCGAGUGCAGCUCCCUGACCUCCGACCUUUUCCUGGACGAGGAGUCGGAGACCAGCAGCGGGAGGAGCUGCGUCUGGAGUUUCUGACAACAUUUCUGUUUAAAAAAAAAAAAGCAAAAACUGUGUUUCGGAUCUGAACGCUGAGGCUCCACUGACCUCCAUGUUCACAGCUGGAUGUCAUGCAUUUCAGAAAACUCUUUUAAAAAAAAAACAUUUUUUAAAAUCUCAUUUUGCUCAUUUUCAUGUUGAUGCCAAAGUUUUGUACGUCCGUUCUACAAGCCGUUAAUCACCUAAAACAAAGUACAUUUCGAAACGUCGAUGUGUUUUGACUCUUUUCCAUCAAGACUGACUAAAUCUUACAAAAAUCAUGUAAAAUUCACAUGUUGCUCGUUUUAAUGCUUCCAUUUGAGUCUCAACAAUUUCUAGAAACAGUUUUAAGCGCUUAAAAAAAAAUGAGCCAGGAGUUUUGUGGUAAUAAGUUCAUUUCUUUUGGUGUCUAGAAAAUGAGCAGUUUCAAAAUUCUCUGGAAUAUUGAGUUACGUUUGACGGGCAUUUCACUGUUACCUAGCAACCCCAGCUGAGUUACGCCCGUUACCUAGCAACCCAAAUGGAGCUCCAGCUGGUUUUAGCUCCAUACAAUGGCUGCUGGAAAAGACAAAGUGUUUGGUUGUUGACUUGCCAUCCAGAAACCACUUGAUGCAUUUUAGUUGGUUGUGCAGGAGGCUCUAGUUCUGCUUUUCAAAGAUGGAACUGUUGUAUAAUUUAGCUGUUAUUUUCACAUGUGAGUGUAUAAACGUGGAGUUGGGGGCGUGGCCAGCAGCAGCUUAUUUGGAUUUAAAGAGACAAAGACGUCCUAAAGCAGCUAAAGUCUCAUCUAAGAAUGAUUUUGUUCAGAAAAUGUAAAGAACAUAUUUUGUUUUAUCCAUAGAUCUGUCCCAACCUGUUCAAGGAAGCCGACUGGGUCACUGAGAAAGUCAAACUUUCUCCAACUGGUCUGUGUUUUUUAAAUGGAAACUUCAUUUAUUUACCUGAACCUGAAGGAAAAUUUAACCAAAUUUACAUUUUUUAUGCUGAAAUCUCUCCCAAAAUAAUAUUUUUGUUACACAAAUAAGACUUAGUGCUGAAUUAUGCUUAAAAGAUUUAUGAAUAAUUUUUUUAAACUACGCAUGUUAAUUUCCUGACACAUCUAACGGCUAAAAACAGUUUAAAGGCUUCAUUAGAGAUGAGCAGUGCCAUCUGGUGGCCACAUUAGACACUGCAGCUUUAACAAACUGGAUCCAGGUCUGGAAAACUUUCCCAAAAUACUGAAGUUUCUCCCUGAUGCAUGAAAUCUUUUUGUUUUAAUCUGCAAUAAUUAAAAAUUACAGCAAUAAGAAAGAUGAAUUGAGGCAAUGUUUAAAUAAGUAAUGAGUAGCUAUUUAGAUAUUUCUAGAUCCCUCAUGAACAAACGGGGUUCAGUUCUGCCUGUGCAGCUUGGCGGUCAGUGGAGUCCAGCCUCAGCCUGAGACCAUCAGAGACUGAAACCGUCUCCAGCUCUCAUCACUGGGAGCUUCAUCCGGUCUGAAAGGCUCCACCCACAGACGGCCAUGUUCCAAUCCCUGAUGAUUGCGGUCGCAGCGAGUCAUGGUUUCCACCGGCAACAAAAUCAAUGCAAAAGCCACAAAGUUAUUCAAAUAUUAACAAAAACCACAAAGUUACUAAAAUGUUCAUGAGUCACAUCGGUCAGCCAUAACGGGCUGAAAGUUUUGUGAUGGUUCUGGUUGAGAUGCAUCUAAACUUCCUCAGACUUGGUGAAUUGUUUGUGGACGUCGUGGCUCAGCUGUGAACUUCAUCGUUAAUAAUCGGAGCGUAAACCGUCCAGCCCUGCAGCAGCCAACGGCCUUCGACGGCCUUCCCGGUCGACGGCCUUCCCGGUCGACGGCCUUCCCGGUCGACGGCCUUCCCGGUCGACGGCCUUCCCUUCCUGAAAACCUGCCAAAGACUUGCUAAACCUUUUUACUGGAUGCUUCUUUGGAGUCGGGUUUGGGCUGCGGAUGAUUUAAAGGGGCGGAGCUUCCUUCUUAUUUUCUAAAUUUUGUCGUUUUGUUGUAAAUAAAAAGUAAAACCGAAUGUCAUGCGAAAAAUACAAAUGUACAAAUAUAUAAAUGGCCUUUUUCUCCCCCCCGGUCCCCCCUCCCCCACUGGUGCUGAAUUUUUAAUGACUGCGAAGCAGCGCCACCUUGUGGUGACGCCUUUCAUCAGAAAAACCCCAAACUUUGUGUUGUCUUCAUCACCUCAUGACGUCCUUCCAUCCCCGAUGGAGGGAGGCGUGUCCUUGUGAGCGGAGGAGCCAGGGGCAUGCUGGGAAAUGCAGUAUCUCAAACGGCGGCACUGUGACGGAGGACGGGCGAAAACGUUUUGAAAACGAACGUUUCCUUUCUGCCAUGUAGUUUUGAAACCCAGGAGAUUAUUCAUAUAUGAUGUAAAGUCUGAUGUUUGUCGUCGUUUUAUUUCCUGCCUGAAUCACGAUGCAUUCUGGUCGCUGUAGUCCUGUGAGUUCUGGUUCUGUUGCUGGUUCUGGUUCAGUGGGUUCUUUCGCCAUGUUGACGUUGAUUUCUGUGUGAAUGAAUUUAGUUUUUUUGUGGCACUAAACGUAAAAGAAGAGAAAUAGUUACAGAAAAUAAAGCUAAGUGUAUUCAAGAAGGAAAUGUUUUUCUACAUCAAAGUGUCUCCAUAUUCUAUUCUUUCAAAGACAAAAAAAAAAAAAUCAGUUUUUUUAUAUUUUCUUAUUGGAUGCUUAUAAAGUCCUGUUGUAAAGUUAAAGCAUUUAUCUGAUUGGCUCCAGAGAGGUCAGAGGUCACAGGCCUCCUUUCGUUAGCCUGCGCUGCAUGAGCAGGAGAAAUAAAUUAUAUUUCAGAGAGAAAAUGUUACGAUAUGAACCUGUGUUUGAUAAAAAGUCACUGCUAAUAAAAAGAUUUAAGUUCCA
Non-coding RNA from Poecilia reticulata (guppy), 3001 nucleotides. The record is from RefSeq and is a predicted model, not a curated record. Lineage: Eukaryota; Metazoa; Chordata; Actinopteri; Cyprinodontiformes; Poeciliidae.